GAUGAACGCUGGCGGCGCGCCUAAUACAUGCAAGUCGAGCGAACGGACGAGAAGCUUGCUUCUCUGAUGUUAGCGGCGGACGGGUGAGUAACACGUGGAUAACCUACCUAUAAGACUGGGAUAACUUCGGGAAACCGUAGCUAAUACCGGAUAAUAUUUUGAACCGCAUGGUUCAAAAGUGAAAGACGGUCUUGCUGUCACUUAUAGAUGGAUCCGCGCUGCAUUAGCUAGUUGGUAAGGUAACGGCUUACCAAGGCAACGAUGCAUAGCCGACCUGAGAGGGUGAUCGGCCACACUGGAACUGAGACACGGUCCAGACUCCUACGGGAGGCAGCAGUAGGGAAUCUUCCGCAAUGGGCGAAAGCCUGACGGAGCAACGCCGCGUGAGUGAUGAAGGUCUUCGGAUCGUAAAACUCUGUUAUUAGGGAAGAACAUAUGUGUAAGUAACUGUGCACAUCUUGACGGUACCUAAUCAGAAAGCCACGGCUAUCUACGUG
RNAcentral lists this ribosomal RNA (497 nucleotides) under uncultured bacterium. RNAcentral describes it as "partial 16S ribosomal RNA". It matches the Rfam family "Bacterial small subunit ribosomal RNA", at positions 28 to 507 of the family's 1533-position model. The record is from RNAcentral.